CAACGAUAGAACUCUUUUAUUAUCUAAACAAGAAAAAACUUAGUGAGUAAAGAAAUGCUGAAGAUAAUUGGGCUCGCAAUUGAGCCCAAAAAGUUAAAGAAAUCAAUAUAAGAUACCGUUGAGCCUGCUUCCAACCAGGUUGUCUCAUCUAGGCUAGAACCAGGCCCAAUUGCUCCCAGCAAGAGAGCCUUCCAUAUUAAGGCCCACUUGAGACUUAACUUACUAUAAAUCACAUGUGAUACAAAAUAUUGUAAAAAUUCUGGAAUAGAAAUCACAGGCUGAUCAACCAUAUUAUGAGUCUAAUUCAUCACCAUACCGUUAGUGACACUAAUAUAAAAUUACUUAACUCAGACUACCAAUUAGUUACAUUGAAACCAGGUUUGUAAUUACUUCUAUUGCAACUGGAGACUCGAAUACCAUCUAACAAUUAAUAUUGAAUAUCCUUUGAAAUUUUAUAGGCUUAGACCCCAUAUUUUUAGAAAAACACACCAUGGAAACAUGCUAAUCAAUAGACCCUUCAGUGAACACUUCAAUGGAAAUGAACUAAUGACCGUAUACACUUGCCAGCCCCUAAUUGAUUUCAAUAUUUUGUACUGGCCAAAUAGGGCCAGGUGCCUAUAUUCUGGAACUUUCUCACAUGGUCUUAUCUAAAUUUCCUAUUUCAUACCCUUCCAAUGACUCACCCCCCACCCCCAAGUUUUCUUUUUGUUCAAUUAACCCUAUAAGUGCUUAUCUAUUUGCAAAUCAGGACCAACAAAACAAUGCAAGAAUCAUCAUGAAUCAAAGAUCAAAGAAAUAAAAUAUUAUGCAAUUAAACCUUUAGACUAACCCUAGCCCCGAAUAAAUUUAGCAUGAACCAACUCUGAAAUGAGGCCGAAACAAAAAUUAUCAAGAACCCAUUAACGACUCUUAACAAAGGAAAGUUGUUAAAACUCAUUAAAAAGACUGUUUAGAUGAUGACUUAACAAAUUUGAAUAAGCACAAACAAAAUACACACUGUAAUUAACCUAACACUAAACCAUGCAAGCUAAGCAGGAAAAGAUUAUGAAGGAAAAAGUAGAAAGAUAAAUCACCCCAAGAGCAAACAAAGCUUGAUUUGAACUAAUCAAUCGCAAACUCGGACAGAUUCCAGCGGCAUAAAAUAAACUGAGACUAACAUCAAUCGAUUUCUGUCAUCAAGAACAAUAGAUUGAUGUAGGUAUUGGAUUCAAAUGGACUAAAACUGAACGGAAAAUUAGAGACUUGCCAAAAAAACUAGGGUUUUGACUUUUAGAUUUAAAUUUUGGGGAUUUCUAGGUUCACAACUGAUUGUUGUCUACCUGCGAUUCUGUCUUCCGGGUGAAGGUCUUGCGGAGGUCGUUUUUAGUAAUAAAAAUUGAUUAGGGAAAGUGACCCAUGAUGAAAGGAUCUAUUGACCUGAGUGGGUUUUUAUUUUUAUUUGAAAAGCAACGCUUGUGGAACUAGGCACUCUUAAGAUCGUGCAAAACAGUUCUUUUUUACCGGGAAGAUUGACAUGACUAUUUCUAUACGUAAUAGAAUGUGUGAAGUCGACCCGAGAAAAAGAAAAGAAUUGACUUUUUGAAUUCAAUAUCAAUAAAAGAACAUAUAAGGACAUGGUUAUGAGGUAUAGAAAGAGGGGAAGAUGGUGUUUUCAUGGUGUCAAUUUUAGUAGUUUUAGAGAUCGUUGGGUGGUAGCGCCGGCAGGGUUUGCAUAGAAUAUUAGGGUGGCUAGGCUUAUGUUUAAAGUGAGAGGGCGACGAGAAUGCGAGUCUCUA
Molecule: long non-coding RNA, 1775 nt
Filed under: Nicotiana benthamiana
Lineage: Eukaryota; Viridiplantae; Streptophyta; Magnoliopsida; Solanales; Solanaceae
Description: long non-coding RNA (NBEN_LNC003685)
Source: RNAcentral